Molecule: unclassified non-coding RNA, 309 nt
Filed under: fungal sp.
Lineage: Eukaryota; Fungi
Description: partial internal transcribed spacer region
Rfam family: Eukaryotic small subunit ribosomal RNA (bases 1-46)
Source: RNAcentral
AAGUCGUAACAAGGUUUCCGUAGGUGAACCUGCGGAAGGAUCAUUAACACGUGAUACACGUCCUCCAACCUUCGGGAGGGUCUCUGGGACUGAUUGAGUGAAAGGACUACUGGAUAAGGACUGAGGGAGUAUGUCGCAGUUCUUUUGAAACUUUAGUCUUGUCUCUAGUCGAGACUGGUGGGAUCCACAUUACGUUUAAAAACUUGCUGUUCUAAAUUCAUACUUCUGCUAUUGAAGGGAUUCCCGAAAGGGUAAUUUCCUUUUAAUGCAAACUCUGAACAACUCUGAGCAACGGAUGUCUUGGUUCCC